UACGGAGGAUGCAAGCGUUAUCAGGAUUUAUUGGGUUUAAAGGGUGCGCAGGUUGUUUGAUAAGUCAGUGGUGAAAGUCUGUCGCUUAACGGUAGGAUUGCCAUUGAUACUGUUGGACUUGAAUAUGGAUGAGGUAGGCGGAAUGUGUAGUGUAGCGGUGAAAUGCAUAGAUAUUACACAGAACACCGAUUGCGAAGGCAGCUUACUAAUCCAUCAUUGACGCUGAGGCACGAAAGCGUGGGGAUCAAA
RNAcentral lists this ribosomal RNA (249 nucleotides) under uncultured prokaryote. Its description in RNAcentral is "partial 16S ribosomal RNA". It matches the Rfam family "Bacterial small subunit ribosomal RNA", at positions 524 to 772 of the family's 1533-position model. The record is from RNAcentral.